RNAcentral lists this ribosomal RNA (332 nucleotides) under uncultured bacterium. RNAcentral's name for it is "partial 16S ribosomal RNA". It matches the Rfam family "Bacterial small subunit ribosomal RNA", at positions 338 to 667 of the family's 1533-position model. The record is from RNAcentral.
CCUACGGGAGGCAGCAGUGAGGAAUAUUGGUCAAUGGCCGAAAGUCUGAACCAGCCAAGCCGCGUGCAGGAAGACGGCCCUAUGGGUUGUAAACCUCUUUUGUACGGGGGCAAAGGAAGAUACGCGUAACUGUCUGAGAGUACCCUAAGAAAAAGGAUCGGCUAACUCCGUGCCAGCAGCCGCGGUAAUACGUAGGUGGCAAGCGUUAUCCGGAUUUAGUGGGGUUAAAGGGCGUGUAGGCGGGGAAGCAAGUCAGAUGUCAAAAUCACGGACUCAACCCGUGUCCUGCCUUUGAAACUGUUUUUCGUGAGUGCGGGAGAGGCAUUCGGAAU